GAUCCUGGCUCAGAGUGAACGCUGGCGGCAGGCCUAACACAUGCAAGUCGAGCGGCAGCGCGGGGGCAACCCUGGCGGCGAGCGGCGGACGGGUGAGGAAUGCAUCGGAAUCUGCCUCGUUGUGGGGGAUAACGUAGGGAAACUUACGCUAAUACCGCAUACGACCGAGAGGUGAAAGUGGGGGACCGCAAGGCCUCACGCGAUGAGAUGAGCCGAUGCCGGAUUAGCUAGUUGGUGGGGUAAAGG
Molecule: ribosomal RNA, 246 nt
Filed under: uncultured bacterium
Lineage: Bacteria
Description: partial 16S ribosomal RNA
Rfam family: Bacterial small subunit ribosomal RNA
Source: RNAcentral